Long non-coding RNA from Acipenser ruthenus (sterlet), 479 nucleotides. RefSeq lists it as uncharacterized. The transcript is spliced from 3 exons. The record is from RefSeq and is a predicted model, not a curated record. NCBI's taxonomy places the organism in Eukaryota, Metazoa, Chordata, Actinopteri, Acipenseriformes, Acipenseridae.
UCUGUACCUGGGUGCAGGGGUAGGAUCUGGGGUCCUUGUGCUGCUGUUACUGCUGAUAGGAGGAGUGCUGAAGUGUCUGCAGUCCAAACGAGACCCUGCUGUCCAGACUGAACCUGUAUACGCCACGGUGAAUCAGCCCAAGCAGCCUUCAAAGCAACAGGACGACACACUCACCUACUCAAAAAUAAACACUGCCCGUGUCACCAAGAAGAAAUCCAGAUCUGCACAUAAUGAAGACAAUGUAACAUACGCAACAGUUAAAACUUCCACAUACUGAAAACCACUAGGAAAAAUGAAUGUUGUUUUGAAAAAUACCUGAAUAUUCAAUAAAUUGGUCUUUCCCUUUUAUCCAAGUACUCUCUGCUUUCAUACCUACCAGAAUGAUCAUACAGAGUCCGAUCAGUGAGAGACACUGGGUGGGAUUUUCAAAGACCAGUGUUAUUGUAUUGAACUCGCGGUAUAGUAAUGACAGCUUUAGU